This 253-nucleotide ribosomal RNA is filed under the name uncultured bacterium. RNAcentral describes it as "partial 16S ribosomal RNA". It matches the Rfam family "Bacterial small subunit ribosomal RNA", at positions 524 to 776 of the family's 1533-position model. The record is from RNAcentral.
UACGGAGGAUGCAAGCGUUAUCCGGAAUGAUUGGGCGUAAAGCGUCCGCAGGUGGCUAUGUAAGUCUGCUGUUAAAGAGUGAGGCUCAACCUCAUAAGAGCAGUGGAAACUACAUGGCUAGAGUGCAGUAGGGGUAGAGGGAAUUCCCGGUGUAGCGGUGAAAUGCGUAGAGAUCGGGAAGAACAUCGGUGGCGAAAGCGCUCUGCUGGACUGCAACUGACACUCAGGGACGAAAGCUAGGGGAGCGAAUGGG